Labrus mixtus (cuckoo wrasse) is the source of this 988-nucleotide long non-coding RNA. RefSeq lists it as uncharacterized. Lineage: Eukaryota; Metazoa; Chordata; Actinopteri; Labriformes; Labridae. The record is from RefSeq and is a predicted model, not a curated record. The transcript is spliced from 2 exons.
CAUCAGAACAGUUGCAUAUAACUGGGAUGGAGUUGUUUUUGCGGACUUUACUUUUACGUUUCCGUUUUCACCGCUGCGGAGCAGACGGGGAGGGGGAGACGCGUCUGUGUCGGAGCGUGAACUGCAGCAUGAUAGAAUAAACACAUUAGCCCAGUUCUACGAUCUCCCUGCUUUGGCAGAUCAUCAGCACGUUCAAAUCCUUCACGAUCUAAGAUCGUUAUAUCGCCCACCACUAGGAUGUAAAUUUUACAUGUUCAGUAUUUACAAUCCGAUCUCUUGAUGUGGUGGGAGAACCCAGAGGACAGCUGAGCACGCACUCUGUUGAUUGGUACAUGAACAAAACGUUAGCCAACAUGGAAGAGAGCCGAGUGAAGAAGGACGGACGACAACCGCAGCAAAACUAUUUUACUCACCUCCAGUUCACGCUGUAACAUGUACAUGUGUGAACACAGUCUCCACGUCUCUUUCCAACGUCUUUCUUAAUGAAGUUUUUCUGUUAAAAGAAUUUCACAAUUACCUCCUGCCUGUCGUCCGCCAUGUUUGUUCACUCUAAAGAUGCAUUUGAUGAUUUCCAGUUUUGAAGGGUCAGGACUCUGGUUGAGUAUGUGAGUGUGUUGAUAGCAACGAUUGGACCAAAGCAGGCCCACCACCACAUUAUAGGAACAAAACUGUUUAAUCAUCAUGUGUCAUCAUGUGUGGAGUCUCUCACAUUUUCAAAAUCUGUUUAGUCAGCGAGGCUUCAUUUUCUCAAUUAGGUCAUUAAAAGUUAUGGUUUGGUAUUCAUUACCUCCAGCCUGGCUAUUGAUUCACUUUGAAAUUAUUGAUGAUAUAAAUCCUUUUUUCAAGGUGGUUGGAAACUUUCGUCUUUUCCGACAUGUUUGCUUUGAGUAGACGACUGUUAUUUUUAUGUCACACACACAUCUGAUGGUGUGAUGAAAAUUACAGUAGGGAGGCAUGCUAAUGGAUGAUAACUUAGGUCCAGCAGUUC